RNA transcript from Solanum dulcamara, 4328 nucleotides. It is a transcript of the gene named putative pentatricopeptide repeat-containing protein At5g08490, with no coding region annotated. NCBI's taxonomy places the organism in Eukaryota, Viridiplantae, Streptophyta, Magnoliopsida, Solanales, Solanaceae. The transcript has 8 exons. The record is from RefSeq and is a predicted model, not a curated record.
AUGGAGUGCCUCCAAAACUUCAAAUCUUAGGUUUGGUUAGUGUUGUUGUAUUAUUAUGAUUUGGUUUGGAUUCUAUUUGAUUUUUUUUUUUGUUAAUAUCAAAUCAAAUUAAUAAUAAUGAUGGAUUUUUUUUUUUGAAGUUAAAAUUCGACUUAAUUCAUCUAUUUAGUUUCUUCCCGGCUCCAUGCUUUUCUAGUUACCUCCUCUCUGUAAGUUCCUUCCUUCUCUCUCUUUUCUCUUCAUUGAUUGCUGAAAGAGUCGGGAUUUGAAGUUUAUGGGUUCUUCGUUUUUAAGUUAAUGAAUUCGAAAUUACAUAAUCAAUGUAUAACCUACUGGUUCGGCCGAAACCGUAGACCCUAUGAGUUGGUACAGUUUGAGUGUUAACGUUGAUGAUAUUUGGGGAUAAUCCGCGAAGAAUGAUAACUUUCUAUGGAUUUUGAAAGUGGGUUUUUUUAAUCAUGAAGAAUGAACUACUUUCUAGCCUUGUCCGAAAAUUACAAAAUCCAACAGUUUUUGCUGCUGAUUACCAAAUCUUGGCAAAUGUACUCAAAUGUUGUGCUACCAUAUCAGAUGGAGUGUUGGGGAAAGCUUUACAUAGUUCUGUUAUUAAGUUAGGUCAUCAUUCUUGUCAAUUUGUUAUAAAAGCUUUGCUUAAUAUGUAUGCUAAAUGUAAAGAUCUUGAUGAAUGUCAAAAACUUUUCGGUAGGAUUAAAUGUAGUGAUAUAGUGAUAUGGAAUAUUAUGUUGUCUGGCUUUGCUUGUUCGCCAUUACAUGUAAUGGAGAUGGAAAGGUUGUUUAAUUCAAUGCAAAGAGCACAUUAUCCUAAGCCAAGUUCUGUUACUCUUGCUAUUGUUAUUCCUGUGAUUGCUCGCUCUGGAGCUUUGGGUGCUGGAAAAAGUGUUCAUUGUUAUGCGGUGAAGCAUGGGUUGGAUUGUAAGACGCUGGUAGGAAAUGCUUUUGUAUCCAUGUAUGCGAAAUCUGGGAAUGUUUUAGAUGCGGAAGCUACUUUUUGUGGAAUUUAUGACAAAGAUGUUGUUUCAUGGAAUGCAAUGAUUGCAGGUUUGAUAGCGAAUAAGCUUACAAAUAGGGCGUUUGAAUUGUUUAGGUUGAUGUUGAGAGGUUCUGUUCUACCUAAUUAUGCGACAAUUGCUAAUAUUAUUCCUACCUAUCCUAGUUUAGGAGGGAUAGAUGGUUACCACUUGGGAAGGCAGAUGCAUUGUUAUGUUUUGCGACGGGCUGAGUUGUUGUCAGAAGCUACUGUUAUCAAUGCUCUUUUGAGCUGCUACUUGAGGGUUGGGAAUUUUGAAGGAGCAGAGACUUUGUUCCGGAAUAUGAAAAGUAAAGAUCUGGUAUCGUGGAACUCAAUAAUUGCUGGCUAUGCAGCAAAUGGUAAAUGGUUGAAGACACUGGAGUUUUUCCGUAAAUUCACUAAAGAGGAGAUGAGUGGACCAGACUCUGUUACUCUUAUGAGCAUUCUUCCAGUAUGUCCACAGCUCAAUAAUGUUUUGAUCGGGAAGCAGAUCCAUGGGUAUGUAAUUCGUCAUAGUUUCCUCCAUCGGGAUAUCUCUGUGAUUAAUGCCCUUAUAAGCUUUUAUGCAAAAUGUGGAAACAUCAAAGAGGCAUGUCACAUAUUUUCAUUGACUUCUAAUAAAGACUUGAUAUCAUGGAACGCUAUGCUUGAUGCUUUAGCAGAAAACCAACUUCACGAAGAAUUUAUAUUCUUGUUAAAGGAUAUGUUUAGAGAGGGGAUGAAAGCUGACUCCAUCACAUUAUUGGCUGUGGUGCGCUAUUUUGCUAACAUUUCCAGAAUGGAUAAGGUUAAAGAAGCACAUGGUUUUUCAGUAAGAUCUGGUAUCUUGUUAAGAUAUAAUGAUCCUACUCUCGCUAAUGCCUUACUUGAUGCAUAUGCGAAGUGUUGCAAUUUGAAAUAUGCAAACAGAAUAUUUGAGAGCUUAUCAGGAAGCAAGAAUGUAAUCACAUGCAACUCAAUGAUCUCAGGGUUUGUGAAUUAUGGUCUGCAUGAAGAUGCACAUGGCAUAUUCAAGAGGAUGACCGAGAGGGAUCUUACCUCGUGGAAUCUGAUGGUGAAAGCUUAUGCUGAAAAUGAUUGUCCUGAUCAAGCAGUGAGUCUGUUUACCGAGUUACAGCAUCACAAAAUGAGGCCUGAUGCCAUGUCCAUUUUGAGCCUCCUUCCAGUUUGUGCUCAAAUGGCCUCAAGCAACUUGCUAAAGCAGUGCCAUGCAUAUGUGAUGAAGGCUUUUCUAGAUGAUGUUUAUCUGAUUGGGGCUCUCAUAGAUGUUUAUUCUAAAUGUGCUACUCUAGGAUAUGCAUACAAGCUUUUCCAAUCAUAUCCUGUCAAAGAUCUUGUAAUGUUUACUGCAAUGGUUGGAGGGUAUGCUAUGCAUGGAAUGGGAGUAGAAGCACUUGGGAUAUUCUAUCAUAUGCUUGAGCUGGACUUUAAACCAGAUCAUGUUAUAAUAACUACAGUGCUAUCUGCUUGUAGUCAUGCUGGCCUUGUGGAUGAAGGGUUAAAGAUCUUUGAUUCAAUGGAAAAGAUGCAUCAAAUCAAACCUAGCAUGGAGCAUUAUGCCUGUGUGGUGGAUCUACUUGCACGUGGAGGUGGAAUUAAAGAUGCAUUUUCCUUUGUGACCCAGAUGCCCUUUCAAGCUGAUGCGGAUAUAUGGGGAACACUUCUGGGUGCCUGUAAAAUCCAUCAGGAGGUUGAUAUGGCCUGUGCUGCGGCAGAUCACCUGUUUCAUGUUAAUGCUAAUGAUAUCGGGAAUUAUAUAGUCAUGUCAAAUCUGUAUGCUGCAAAUGCUAGAUGGGAUGACGUCUUAGAGAUAAGAAGGUCUAUGAAAAUGAGAGAUCUUAAGAAGCCAGUUGGUUGCAGUUGGAUUGAAGUGGAAAGGAAGAAAAGUGUAUUUGCUGCUGGUGACUAUUCUCACCGACAGAGAAGACUGAUAUAUGAAACAUUAAUAGUCUUAGAUGAACAAAUCAAAGAGCUAUAUGAGUAUGACUUAUAGCUCGUAAUAUUUUGCUCAUGUGAAGUAACACUGAGCUACUGUAUCACUACAUUAUGUAAGAAAGUGGUCCAUCUUUGUUUGCAGUUUUUGAUAUUUGUAUGGUGGAAUUUCUUUUCAUUGUCCAAUAGGCAUCCCUUAAUUUAGAAAGUCUGAUAUGCAUAGAGAUUUUCUCAAAGUUUUGGCCAGCUAUGUUAACAUUUUAUACUAAUGCAAACUGCAGAUCAGUUCGGUACACUGUUCUUCCCAGAGAGGUCAAAGCGUGACAUUGGCAUGCAAGUGUCUUCUCACUGGUUGAGCAUUUAUACUCUUUUCAUUUUUUUAAAGGAGAAUCUGAUCUCACCAACGUAGCUCCAGUGUCCAAUGGAGAAGACGAUUCGUUUGUAGCAGUUUGAGAUUGAAAACUAUGCAUUUCACAUACCAAAGCUACUGAGUUGGUAGAACCCUGUUUCUACUAAGAUCAUACUUACGAACUGUCUCCAAAAGGUAGCCUUUCAAGAUACUUUAUUUUGACCUCUUGAUAGAGGCAAAGUUUAAUUCUGGAAGGAGCUAUAGUCAUGAUACUGGGACCGGCGUUCCUCCUUAUUCUCCUCCACGUGGCUAGUAGGGAUCGUUGAAGGCUACUAUUGGAAAAUAUUGGUGUGAAAGGUAGCUUGUCUUAUGAGGAGAUUCCGGUUCAAAUCCUUGAUCGUCAGGUUCCCAAGUUGAGGACCAAAGCGGUCGCUUCAGUCAAAGUGUUGUGAAGGAAUCAAUUUGCUGAAGAGGCUACAUGGGAUGCCGAAGAAGAUAUGAAAGCUAAAUACCCGCAUCUAUUCGUUCCUCCUAGUGUUGAUGUUGAAGAUUGAAAACUAUGCAUUUCAUAUACAAAAGCUACCUAGUUGUGGUAUCAUUUAUCUAAACAAGAACAGAAAUUUGAUGGCAGGUGAAGGUGCAUUGACGACAUGGAGCAACAUCUAAAUUAGCAAAGCUGCCUCCUGGUUUCGAGUCUAAUCUGAAGUAAUCUUCACUGAGUUUGGCAGAUGGACAUGUGAAGAAUAAUAUUGAAGUCAAUGAUUUAUAUGCUUUCCACUUGUGGAAAAUGGGCAGAUUGAUCUGGCCAUGAGUGCAUUGGGACCUCCUAAUUUAUGUGUAUCAUAGUGAUUGAUGAAACUAUAUGCUUAUUUGUACCACAUAUAUUUCAAUUUAAUAGUAGACAUGCAACAAAGGAGACAAGGAGGAAAAACACAACAAUCAUUAGCUGUAUGUAUGAAAAAAUAUAUGCUCUAGUUAGGUAUAUAAUUGGUUAUCAAAUUACUGAAGUUUUAUCUG